GCCCUAUUGCCCCAAGUGGGUAAAAAUUUGUGGGAUAAGGAGAAAUUCUCCAGGCGUAGUCACCGCCUCAGCAGCCCUGGUAAUACUUGGCCACCUAGAGGCUGCAUGGCUCAACUCCCAUUGAACUAACAGAAAGCUUCAAGGUCAGGGCUAUAGAAAGGAGUUCUGCUCAGACAAUGAAGGGCAUCUGUAGGGCAUUCUCAGAUAUCUCCUAAACCCCUUAAAACUCUGCAACGACGCGCAAUACUCACCUGACCCUCUAGGCUUUCAGGAGGGAUCAGUUGUCAGACAAAUACUCUGUCAACCUGGAAGACAGUCUUAUAAAGAGUCCUCAUGAGUUCCCCCUUGGUGUAGUCUUCUGCUGGACUCUGAGGAUCAUUGCCUUUCCAGAGCAUAGCUGGGAUUUUCUCCAUCACAAGGGGUCCCAAUCCAUGAAGUUGCCACCAUCCUCAGAUGGCCGAAGCUAAGGCUGAGAAGUCAAAUGAUUUGCCUGAGGUCGUCACCCAGCU
RNAcentral lists this long non-coding RNA (509 nucleotides) under Phascolarctos cinereus (koala). RNAcentral's name for it is "lncRNA (ENSPCIG00000021966.2)". The record is from RNAcentral. Lineage: Eukaryota; Metazoa; Chordata; Mammalia; Diprotodontia; Phascolarctidae.